Molecule: ribosomal RNA, 497 nt
Filed under: uncultured bacterium
Lineage: Bacteria
Description: partial 16S ribosomal RNA
Rfam family: Bacterial small subunit ribosomal RNA
Source: RNAcentral
GAUGAACGCUGGCGGCGUGCCUAAUACAUGCAAGUCGAGCGAACAGACGAGGAGCUUGCUCCUCUGACGUUAGCGGCGGACGGGUGAGUAACACGUGGAUAACCUACCUAUAAGACUGGGAUAACUUCGGGAAACCGGAGCUAAUACCGGAUAAUAUAUUGAACCGCAUGGUUCAAUAGUGAAAGACGGUUUUGCUGUCACUUAUAGAUGGAUCCGCGCCGCAUUAGCUAGUUGGUAAGGUAACGGCUUACCAAGGCAACGAUGCGUAGCCGACCUGAGAGGGUGAUCGGCCACCCUGGAACUGAGACACGGUCCAGACUCCUACGGGAGGCAGCAGUAGGGAAUCUUCCGCAAUGGGCGAAAGCCUGACGGAGCAACGCCGCGUGAGUGAUGAAGGCCUUCGGAUCGUAAAACUCUGUUAUUAGGGAAGAACAAAUGUGUAAGUAACUAUGCACGUCUUGACGGUACCUAAUCAGAAAGCCACGGCUAACUACGUG